AUUUGGGAUCGAUUUAGGCCCAGAAGCUCAUACCCAAAUGACGAGGAGAUAUGCGGAAUGAAGAUUUCCAAACUCAUGUUCAAGAGUGGAAAAGACCGAAAUAGAUUCAAUCAGGUGUCCCGAUCAAGAGGAAACGGUUAGCUAGGCCGUUGGAAUCGUUACGGAGAUUCCCAAGGUACCCGAAACGGGCUGCCCCUCCAUGGAACAUCUACAUAAUGAUGGUGAGUGGCAUGUGACCAUCGAACGGCCUCAAAUUUCCCGGUGGUAGGAAGAACUGAAAUUGGUUUCCAACCAUCACCUGACCUCACACGGGAGGCCCCCAAGGGCUAUAGUCAUAGUGAUCCUCCUAUUCAACUACUUCAACCAUUUCCGAGCACCUCAUAUCUUUUUUGGGGCGUCCGAAGAUUCGAUCAUUUUUGUAUGAUUUCUUUUGCACUGCCCUUUCCAAUGGGUUUCGAAGAGGCUUAUCGAGCCUAUUUUUAUAGAGUGUAUAGCAAUUCUGCCAAUGCAGUACGAAUUGCAUGGCUGGCACAAUAUGAGUACUAUAACCACGCUGCCUGUAUGAAAAAACAAACUUUGCAGAACCCUUUCACCUAAUCGAUCGUGGUGAAGUCAGCAAUGGAUUCGGCGGAUCAUACACCUUACGCUAGGAUUUGGGAAGGACAUUUACGAGACUGAGGUGAGUUUUAAGAGAAAGACGGGGGUGGA
Molecule: long non-coding RNA, 708 nt
Filed under: Nicotiana benthamiana
Lineage: Eukaryota; Viridiplantae; Streptophyta; Magnoliopsida; Solanales; Solanaceae
Description: long non-coding RNA (NBEN_LNC024929)
Source: RNAcentral